RNAcentral lists this ribosomal RNA (301 nucleotides) under uncultured bacterium. RNAcentral's name for it is "partial 16S ribosomal RNA". It matches the Rfam family "Bacterial small subunit ribosomal RNA", at positions 509 to 807 of the family's 1533-position model. The record is from RNAcentral.
CAGUCGCCGCGGUAAUACGAAGGGGGCUAGCGUUGCUCGGAAUGACUGGGCGUAAAGGGCGCGUAGGCGGAUUGUUUAGUUAGGCGUGAAAUUCCUGGGCUUAACCUGGGGACUGCGCUUAAUACAGGCAGUCUAGAGUGAGGAAGAGGGUUGUGGAAUUCCCAGUGUAGAGGUGAAAUUCGUAGAUAUCGGAAGGAACACCUAUGGCGAAAGCGGCUCACUGGACAUUUACUGACGCUGAUGCACGAAAGCUAGGGGAGCAAACAGGAUUAGAUACCCGCGUAGUCCCUGUCUCUUAUAC